UGGGGAAUAUUGGACAAUGGGCGAAAGCCUGAUCCAGCCACGCCGCGUGUGUGAUGAAGGCCUUCGGGUCGUAAAGCACUGUGGGGAGGGAAGAAAAGCCGACGGUUAAUACCCGGCGGAAUUGACGGUACCUCCUUAGCAAGCACCGGCUAACUCCGUGCCAGCAGCCGCGGUAAUACGGAGGGUGCAAACGUUGCUCGGAAUUAUUGGGCGUAAAGCGCGUGUAGGCGGUCGACUAAGUCGGAUGUGAAAGCCCUGGGCUUAACCUAGGAAGUGCGUUCGAUACUGGUCGACUUGAGUACGGGAGAGGGGAGCGGAAUUCCCGGUGUAGAGGUGAAAUUCGUAGAUAUCGGGAGGAACACCAGUGGCGAAGGCGGCUCCCUGGACCGAUACUGACGCUGAGACGCGAAAGCGUGGGGAGCAAACAGGAUUAGAUACCCCCGUAGUCC
Molecule: ribosomal RNA, 449 nt
Filed under: uncultured prokaryote
Description: bacterial SSU rRNA
Rfam family: Bacterial small subunit ribosomal RNA
Source: RNAcentral